Molecule: non-coding RNA, 200 nt
Filed under: Oscillospiraceae bacterium
Lineage: Bacteria; Bacillati; Bacillota; Clostridia; Eubacteriales; Oscillospiraceae
Description: 6S RNA
Rfam family: 6S / SsrS RNA
About the family: E. coli 6S RNA was the first non coding RNA to be sequenced, but its function was unknown until recently. It consists of 184 nucleotides that fold into an extended hairpin structure with a large single-stranded internal bulge.
Source: RNAcentral
AGUUCCCUGCGGAGUUCGUGAUAAUCUCUUUUAAACCCACAUCAUAACAUCGGGAUGUUGAAUUUCCUCGUUGUCGUGCAGGCCUCCCGUUUCCGACCUCGAUCGGAAGCGGAAGUUGGAAGCUGGUAAGACGAGGAUAGACAGCCCACCUGCCAUUCGUGCAGGUUAUAAUUGGGGUUACACGGCUUUGUGGGGAUUUU